AGCGGGCAACGGAAUCCCAAAAGCAGCUGUUGUCUCCAGAGCAUUCCAGCUGCAAUUGGAUUUCGUUCCCUGCU
Molecule: microRNA precursor, 74 nt
Organism: Monodelphis domestica (gray short-tailed opossum)
Lineage: Eukaryota; Metazoa; Chordata; Mammalia; Didelphimorphia; Didelphidae
Gene: mdo-mir-191
Product: mdo-mir-191
Source: Ensembl